CUUUGCCUUUCAUCCUUUCGAGGUCGGUAAAAUAAGUGCCAGAUCGGCAUCCUUAUGAUUCACAGACGAUUUAUUAUGGGUGUUUCAGAAAGAUGUUUCAGUUUGAUGUUUCUGUCUUCCUGUGAACCAAUUAAGUAUUGUUCGGAUUCCACCAACAAAUGUAUAAGGAAUUCACAGCAAGUAUAAAUAUCAUCACAGAGAGACUUGUCUCUUUGAAAUAUGUACUCCUACGAUAGUUUAUCACACCAGUGACAAUACAACCACUUCCUGUAUCUAACUUUAUUCUCUCAAAGACACAAGAAUCACCAAGUAUUGAACUCCCAAAAUGAGGCUAGGUUUUCUAUAAUCCUGAUUAUGAUCUCUGGAACUUUAGAAAAUCAAAUAGUUUCCAGGAUACACGAGUGGAGAACAGACCCGAAUGCUUUUGUUAUGAGGCAACCUGACCGGAACUAAGUUUCUCCAAUGUCAUUACACCUCUGAUACACCCUUUAAUAAUUUCUCCUCACAUUCCUCAGUUUUUCAUUUAUCAGUAAAUGUAGUGAUGUUGUUACUAUCACACUGAAGCAAGAGGAAUCAGUUCAGACAGGCUGUCAAUAUUUCCUACAUUAAAUUCUAGCAUGUAAUUGAUCCGUAAUUCUUCGCCAUGCUUAUGAGCUUUUUUUCUUUUUUUCUUUUCUUUCUUUUUCAGCCAGACUUGUUUCAACCAAUAUCAGCCUUUUUGGUGCAUUUAUAUCUCUACUGAAAUCUUCCUUGUGAAAGUCAAUAAAAUACCCUCGAGAGGAGGUACAUAUAUUUUUGUAUCAAUAGCCAGCAAUCAAGUCUCUUCUUGGUGAUUUUUUUUUUUAUCCUGAAGUAUUUCUCUUAUAGUCUGUCUCAAAAAUAUCACCAUUGAUUCGCCAUAAUUUUGAUGCAAUUCACAAACAAUAUUUCAUCCAAUUUCUUCCAUCCCCACAACAUCCUGGUCAAAUUUCUGUCUUUCACUCCAGAUUUUUUUCUAAAAUGAUACUGCACCUUCCUAAGAAGGUGUUUCUGAACUUCAUUUCUCUCAUAUCUUAGUAAACUCUGAAUGA
RNAcentral lists this long non-coding RNA (1070 nucleotides) under Octopus sinensis (East Asian common octopus). RNAcentral's name for it is "uncharacterized LOC118763039, transcript variant X2". Lineage: Eukaryota; Metazoa; Mollusca; Cephalopoda; Octopoda; Octopodidae. The record is from RNAcentral.